CCUACGGGGGGCAGCAGUGGGGAAUAUUGCACAAUGGGGGAAACCCUGAUGCGGCGACGCCGCGUGAAGGAAGAAGGUUUUCGGAUCGUAAACUUCUAUCAGCAGGGAAGAAGAAAGUGACAGUACCUGACUAAGAAGCCCCGGCUAACUACGUGCCAGCAGCCGCGGUAAUACGUAGGGGGCAAGCGUUAUCCGGAAUCACUGGGUGUAAAGGGUGCGUAGGCGGUAGGGCAAGUCAGAUGUGAAAGUCCGGGGCUCAACCCCGGGAUUGCAUUUGAAACUGUAGGGCUUGAGUGCAGGAGAGGGUAGUGGAAUUCCCAGUGUAGCGGUGAAAUGCGUAGAUAUUAGUAGGAACACCAGUGGCGAAGGCGACUCUCUGGACUGUAACUGACGCUGAGGCACGAAAGCGUGGGGAGCAAACAGGAUUAGAUACCCUUGUAGUC
This 443-nucleotide ribosomal RNA is filed under the name uncultured bacterium. Its description in RNAcentral is "bacterial SSU rRNA". It matches the Rfam family "Bacterial small subunit ribosomal RNA", at positions 338 to 795 of the family's 1533-position model. The record is from RNAcentral.